RNAcentral lists this ribosomal RNA (424 nucleotides) under Anaerobacillus isosaccharinicus. RNAcentral describes it as "bacterial SSU rRNA". It matches the Rfam family "Bacterial small subunit ribosomal RNA", at positions 1 to 413 of the family's 1533-position model. The record is from RNAcentral. Lineage: Bacteria; Bacillati; Bacillota; Bacilli; Caryophanales; Bacillaceae.
UUUUAUGGAGAGUUUGAUCCUGGCUCAGGACGAACGCUGGCGGCGUGCCUAAUACAUGCAAGUCGAGCGGACAAUUGAGAGCUUGCUCUCAAUUGUUAGCGGCGGACGGGUGAGUAACACGUGGGCAACCUGCCCUGUAGACUGGGAUAACUUCGGGAAACCGAAGCUAAUACCAGAUAAUCUUUUGCGUCUCAUGGCGCGAAAGUAAAAGUUGGGUUUUACCUAACACUACAGGAUGGGCCCGCGGCGCAUUAGCUAGUUGGUAAGGUAACGGCUUACCAAGGCGACGAUGCGUAGCCGACCUGAGAGGGUGAUCGGCCACACUGGGACUGAGACACGGCCCAGACUCCUACGGGAGGCAGCAGUAGGGAAUCUUCCGCAAUGGACGAAAGUCUGACGGAGCAACGCCGCGUGAACGAUGAAG